GUAUGGGUGGUGCGGAAGCUAGCUUGCUAUAUCGCUGGUUCAAGGUUCACUAUAGAGACUGACCACUGUUUCCUCACAUGGCUGCAGUCCAUGUCUACGAAAAACGGUCGUCUUUUGCGCUGGAGCUUAUCUCUUCAAAAGUAAAGCUUCCAUAUUCGUUACAAGAAGGGUAAGCUUAACGGCAAUGCCGACGGUUUGAGUCGUUGCCCCUAGAGUAGCGAAAGCCUCAUGCUCAUCCGGAUUGCCGUGGAAUUUUUACGUUCGUUCAUAUGUUUUUCUGAAUUCAUACGUUCUUUCGAUGUAUAACUGAUUGUUAGCUGAUUUUAAUAACCAAGUCUUAACGCUUUCAAGAAAUGGCUGUUUUUAGUGUUCAAGGGGGGAGGACGUGCGUAGGGAAUGGGAAAGGUGUAGCGGGUUUUCUCCUUCUUUUUUUAAAGCCGGGUGUGUCUUGGGGGAGGGUGGCCUUGUGCUCACUGCUUUGUGGUUCUGGGUCCGGCACUGUUCUGGGGUGAUUGCUUGCCCACGCAGAAGACGAAAAGUUGCGAGACGUGCUUGGAAGACCAAUUUCGCCGGACCGGACCAGGGAGUAAAGUCACAAGAUAUAUUUGCGUGAUAUUUGGUGAUAUUUGGUGAUAUUUGCGUGUACGAAAAAAAGGGUAUUACUUGAUUCCAGAACAAUUCGAUUUGUUCUACACAUGGUACUGAAAUUUCCAGUUUUAUUUUAAAUAUGGAAUUAGGUAGGAAGCUAUUGUGAUAUUUUUAUGGUGCCCUGGUGCAUUCGGCUUGUGCAGAUGCUACAAGCUUCCAUUCUGCUGACGAAAAUUCGGCUGAAGUCAUAGGAGGAUAGCUAUUAAAGUGUAAUGAAAGAAACCUGAUAGAUAUGCUGGGUUGUGCUGCUGUGGACGCUUAUUUGUUCGCCCUCUUGGGCAAUGCUGUUAUGCUUAUGGGUGCUUUGAUACUGUACGGCCUACAGGAUGGCCAGCAUUACAAAACACAUUAAAACGACUGCAAGGAUUCAUGCCGUUCAAUGACAUCAUAAUUGGUCCAUGAAGUUACCGCCUUUGCUUACACUAUGUGGCGAUCUGGUCCAGUUAACCUGACUGCUAUCUACGCACGAGGAAGAGGAGGGAGGCAAAGAAAGGGACCUGCGAAUAAUGUUUUUGCACAGGUGGCUCAUACAUUGCUAUAUUCUUGCAGGUUUUGUUACUCGAAUUGAAGCGUUCUAUGGGCGAAUAUCAAUAUUUCAUCCCUGUUUAUACCUAGGAAGGAUUGCUUUCUUUACAGUGUCACUUUUAUAUUAUACUCUCGUGACACUAAGUUCCCUUGUUUUAUUACAGGUGUGACAGCGCCUGCAGAAAAAGUGUAGCGAUGCUUGUAUCUUCAAUAUUGACAUGCCUACACUGAAAAGCAAGCUUCUGCUAUGCCGAGGAAGAAUUGUGUGAAGAGCCGACGUAAAGCAACUUUUCGAAGCACUGAACAAGCUAGGUUUGCUGGUAUGGGUUUGCGUACAUUGGUUCGAUGGGUUUUGGAGGCCCAUAUGGGCUAUUUGCCCACACUUAGGAAGACAAACUUGUGGGGUGUGCUUCUGCAGUUUGUACAGCGCACUGAAAGUGCAGGUGUGAGCCACAUCUUCGGAACGAACUGCCCUGGCAGCACCAUUCACGGCGCAGAUGACUCUCACUGAGUUGGGUGUCCUGCAAGCUCUCGCUCAAGCAACACAUUCCACUGGUCGUCUCUCAGCAGACUGGGUGUUUUAAAGUACCAUUAAAAAGUCCAAUAAAGAACGCUGUAUGCGAACUAUGA
Long non-coding RNA from Dermacentor andersoni, 1803 nucleotides. RefSeq lists it as uncharacterized. Lineage: Eukaryota; Metazoa; Arthropoda; Arachnida; Ixodida; Ixodidae. The record is from RefSeq and is a predicted model, not a curated record.